AGUUGUACAUGUUGACACAAGC
This 22-nucleotide microRNA is filed under the name Alligator mississippiensis (American alligator). Its description in RNAcentral is "ami-miR-9605-3p". The record is from miRBase by way of RNAcentral. Lineage: Eukaryota; Metazoa; Chordata; Crocodylia; Alligatoridae.